UACGGAGGGUGCAAGCGUUAUCCGGAUUCACUGGGUUUAAAGGGUGCGUAGGUGGGUUGAUAAGUCAGUGGUGAAAUCCCCGAGCUUAACUUGGGAACUGCCAUUGAUACUAUUGAUCUUGAAUACCGUGGAGGUCAGCGGAAUACGUCAUGUAGCGGUGAAAUGCUUAGAUAUGACAUAGAACACCAAUUGCGAAGGCAGCUGGCUACGCGAAUAUUGACACUGAUGCACGAAAGCGUGGGGAUCAAACAGG
Molecule: ribosomal RNA, 253 nt
Filed under: uncultured bacterium
Lineage: Bacteria
Description: partial 16S ribosomal RNA
Rfam family: Bacterial small subunit ribosomal RNA
Source: RNAcentral